Molecule: long non-coding RNA, 2449 nt
Organism: Zea mays
Lineage: Eukaryota; Viridiplantae; Streptophyta; Magnoliopsida; Poales; Poaceae
Exons: 7
Source: RefSeq, a predicted model, not a curated record
GCCCACCCUCUCUUCCUCCACGCGAUCUAGCAACCGCUCCCACCGACUCGUUUUCUCUCUCGCCACCCCGAUUUGUCUGCCGCCAUGGCAUCGGCAUCGCGUGCGCUCCUCCUCUCCCGUGCGCUCUAGCCUGGCGUCGUGUACCUUCGCAUCCCCGGCCGCCUACGCUCGAUCGCUGCGGACGUGAGCCUACUUGCAACCCAGAGAGAGAUCGAGGCGAUGUGCAAUGGGCACGAGGCUGCCACCAGGGCGGAAGAGGACGAAGAGCAGGAACCGAUGCAGAAGCGGUGAACGGGGAGGAAGGAGCAGGAUGGGGAAAACUCAGAAGGCGGGUGAAGCCUCCAGGGCCUGGUGGAGACAUUCACGUCGCGGUCGGAGUCGGUGCUGGGAGGCUACCACCAACCUCGAGGACCUCGGCUCGGGGUUCCGCUUCGAGACGGCAGCGCUCCAGGCCGUCGCCGCACACGCUGCCCCGACGCUACCCAACGCAUUGGAGGCCACCGCGUCUGCCUCCUCCAAUAAAGUCAAGUCCAUCGGUCAGGUCGUUGAUGACCUCAAUACUGUCGCCGGUCUCCUCUCGAACCUACAAGAUCGUCGAUUACGUCGACGUCAAGAUGAACAGCACCGUCCACAAGGGGAUGCCGCACCAGUCGCGUCAGGAACACCAACACCACCAGGUGUGCCAUCGGCGUCGAAAUAAACAAGCAGUUUUAGCUGAAGUAGCACUAUAUCAGGCGUCAGAAUGGCACCACAUCCUCCACGAGGGAGGUUACUGUUGCGGGAGUCUUCAGCAGGUCACUCGCCACAUGCGCCUUCCAGCAGACCGACAAUGAAGCGUUGCUUGCUCGCUCCUCGACGACCAAGGAGACCGAAAAAACUGCUAGAAAAAGGCAUGUCUCACUAACUGAAACUAUACUUCUUGCGUGAAAUAUGGCAAGCUUCACAUGUGAAAAACUACCAGUUACACAAUGAAAAACUGUAGAUUUCACUGAACAUGUGAAGCUUGAGGUGCUAACCACGACUAUGCUUUUAUUUAUGUUCUUAUUUUCACUCAAUAAAGUAUUUUGUUCUCAUGUCCGGUGCUCUUGUGUCUACUGGUUAUAAACAAUAAAUGCUAUGAUGGAGCUAAGGGUGAUCUGUGGUCAUGUGGAGUGAUUUUCUUUGUCCUCAUGGCGGGGUACCUCCCAUUUAAAGAUUCAAACCUGAUGUCGCUUUACAAGAAGAUCUUCAAAGCGGAUUUCAGUUGCCCAUCCUGGUUCUCCACAAGUGCAAAGAAGCUCAUCAAGAAGAUACUUGAUCCUAAUGCUAACACUAUGAGUUCUGUUGUUUGUAGCCAUCAUUUAACUCAUUUUGUUCAACAUCUGCAGAGUUAAUAACUGUGUACCAUCGUUCUGUGGCCUGUGUAGAUAAUAGCUAUUGCGGAGCACAUUAACAAUGAGUGGUUCAAGAAGGUUUAUCAACCUCCCAGAUUUGAAACAACAGAUGUUAUUAUGGACGCAACUUUGAUCCUGAAUGCGCACAACUUUAGUUGUUCUGUCUGUUUUUAGAGGAUUCAUUUUUAGAUAGGUUGAAUAUUGUCAAAAUUUGGUUGUUCGAAAUGGUUAUGAUUGUUGAGUUGAUUCUUGAUAGCAUUACUAAACAAUAACCUAUGCGUGCACAAGUGUCCCUCAUUGCAAUGCACGAGCAUAUACCUAUCUUGUCACUGAGUUUGAUUCUUUGGUGCCAGGUGCUUCUAAUAUCAAUGUCACUGACAGCCAGAUCCCACUGACUGUGCCAAACUCUCACAUUGGAAGAGAUGUUGUUGUUCACGCUGCUCCUGGUGAUCUUAGAAAGGGCCAUCGAAUCUGUUUCAAGUUCCAGCAAUGGAGCAGUGAAGCACACAUUCAUGAGGAUUGACAGAUGAAUCGACGAGAGCCAUGGAAGCAGCCUUUGCUCAAGAAAGGUGACAUCGUGGUCGUGGAGAUCUCCAACCUCUAUCAGGUGGCUAUGCUGGUCAACGAUCUGUGCAGGUCGAAGAGCGUGAACGACCUAUCCUCCCCAUCAUGCCAAACCCACAAGGACGACGACGACAACAACCUAGAGGACGAGGAUGAGUGGCAGGACGGGAAAAAGUUUAAUGCGGUGGCCACCUUCAAGAUCCUCGGCGAGGUUGACAUUGCUCACCUUAGUUAGACUUUAGAAACCCAGUCAUCUGCUUCUGCGUUGGUGGUGCUGAGUUCGUGCAUUUCAGAGUGUUCGCUGCUACUGUUAGUGAUACUGCUCCCCUUUUUGGUUGUUGCCACGAGCUUAGAUUUCAUAAGCUAACCGCCGUCGUUAGUGAAACAGCUCAUUAUGAUCCUAAUUGUUCUGUAAAUUUUCAAGUUUAAAUAGCCAUGCCUAUUUUACUGAUUGAACAGAUGCAACACGUUAUUGUGUACCAUACUUUGUGUAAGUCGUCGACUUGGUUGAC